CCCUUAGAUGUUCUGGGCCGCACGCGCGCUACACUGAUGCAUUCAACGAGCCUAUCCUUGACCGACAGGUCCGGGUAAUCUUUGAAUCUGCAUCGUGACGGGGAUAGAUUAUUGCUAUUAUUAAUCUUCAACGAGGAAUGCCUAGUAGGCGCAAGUCAUCAGCUUGCGUCGAUUACGUCCCUGCCCUUUGUACACACCGCCCGUCGCUCCUACCGAUUGGGUGUGCUGGUGAAAUGUUCGGAUCGGCCGUUUGUCGCGGUUUCCGCGUCAUGUGGCUGAGAAGUUCAUUAAACCCUCCCACCUAGAGGAAGGAGAAGUCGUAACA
This 325-nucleotide ribosomal RNA is filed under the name uncultured eukaryote. RNAcentral describes it as "partial 18S ribosomal RNA". It matches the Rfam family "Eukaryotic small subunit ribosomal RNA", at positions 1470 to 1796 of the family's 1831-position model. The record is from RNAcentral.